Molecule: ribosomal RNA, 457 nt
Filed under: uncultured Cryomorphaceae bacterium
Lineage: Bacteria; Pseudomonadati; Bacteroidota; Flavobacteriia; Flavobacteriales; Cryomorphaceae
Description: bacterial LSU rRNA
Rfam family: Bacterial large subunit ribosomal RNA
Source: RNAcentral
AAGAAAGUAACUAAGGGCGUAUGGCGGACGCCUAGGCUCUCAGAGGCGAUGAAGGACGUGACAAGCUGCGAUAAGCUACGAUUAGGUGCAAAUAACCUUUUAGUCGUAGAUUUCCGAAUGGGGCAACCCAACUGGUUGAAGACCAGUUACCACCUAGGUGGAGCUAACCCGGUGAACUGAAACAUCUAAGUAACCGGAGGAAUAGAAACAAUAGUGAUUCCCCUAGUAGCGGCGAGCGAACGGGGAGUAGCCCAAACCAUUAAUGUUUCGGCAUUAAUGGGGUUGUAGGACUACAAUUUGGACUUUAAAUGUAUAGUAGAAUCUUCUGGAAAGUUGAACAAUAUAGGGUGAUAGUCCCGUAAACGAAAUACAUUUAAUACCUAGUAGUAUCCUGAGUAGCACGAAACAUGUGAAAUUUUGUGUGAAUCCACCAGACCAUCUGGUAAGGCUAAAUACU